GCCCUAGUAACGGCGAGUGAAGCGGCAACAGCUCAAAUUUGAAAUCUGGCGCAAGCCCGAGUUGUAAUUUGUAGAGGAUGCUUCUGGGCAGCGGCCGUUCUAAGUUCCUUGGAACAGGACGUCAUAGAGGGUGAGAAUCCCGUAUGUGACCGGCGCGCACCCUCCACGUAGCUCCUUCGACGAGUCGAGUUGUUUGGGAAUGCAGCUCUAAAUGGGUGGUAAAUUCCAUCUAAAGCUAAAUAUUGGCCAGAGACCGAUAGCGCACAAGUAGAGUGAUCGAAAGAUGAAAAGCACUUUGGAAAGAGAGUUAAAAAGCACGUGAAAUUGUUGAAAGGGAAGCGCUUACAACCAGACUCCGCGGCGGUGUUCCGCCGGUCUUCUGACCGGUCUACUCGCCGCCGUGGGGCCAACAUCGUCUGGGGCCGCCGGAUAAGACCGUAGGAAUGUAGCUCAUUGAGUGUUAUAGCCUGCGGUGAUGCGGCGCGUCCCGGGCGAGGUCCGCGCUUCGGCAAGGAUGUUGGCGUAAUGGUUGUCAGCGGCCCGUCUUGAAACACGGACCAAGGAGUCUAACAUCUAUGCGAGUGUUCGGGUGUCAAACCCCUACGCGUAAUGAAAGUGAACGGAGGUGGGAAGCUUCGGCUGCACCAUCGACCGAUCCUGAUGUCCUCGGAUGGAUUUGAGUAAGAGCAUAGCUGUUGGGACCCGAAAGAUGGUGAACUAUGCCUGAAUAGGGUGAAGCCAGAGGAAACUCUGGUGGAGGCUCGCAGCGGUUCUGACGUGCAAAUCGAUCGUCAAAUUUGGGUAUAGGGG
RNAcentral lists this ribosomal RNA (810 nucleotides) under Zasmidium eucalyptigenum. RNAcentral describes it as "eukaryotic LSU rRNA". It matches the Rfam family "Eukaryotic large subunit ribosomal RNA", at positions 77 to 923 of the family's 3401-position model. The record is from RNAcentral. Lineage: Eukaryota; Fungi; Ascomycota; Dothideomycetes; Mycosphaerellales; Mycosphaerellaceae.